RNAcentral lists this ribosomal RNA (879 nucleotides) under uncultured bacterium. RNAcentral describes it as "bacterial SSU rRNA". It matches the Rfam family "Bacterial small subunit ribosomal RNA", at positions 31 to 900 of the family's 1533-position model. The record is from RNAcentral.
GAACGCUAGCUACAGGCUUAACACAUGCAAGUCGAGGGGAAACGACAUCGAAAGCUUGCUUUUGAUGGGCGUCGACCGGCGCACGGGUGAGUAACGCGUAUCCAACCUGCCCACCACUUGGGGAUAACCUUGCGAAAGUAAGACUAAUACCCAAUGAUAUCUCUAGAAGACAUCUGAAAGAGAUUAAAGAUUUAUCGGUGAUGGAUGGGGAUGCGUCUGAUUAGCUUGUUGGCGGGGUAACGGCCCACCAAGGUGACGAUCAGUAGGGGUUCUGAGAGGAAGGUCCCCCACAUUGGAACUGAGACACGGUCCAAACUCCUACGGGAGGCAGCAGUGAGGAAUAUUGGUCAAUGGGCGAGAGCCUGAACCAGCCAAGUAGCGUGCAGGAUGACGGCCCUAUGGGUUGUAAACUGCUUUUAUAAGGGAAUAAAGUGAGUCUCGUGAGACUUUUUGCAUGUACCUUAUGAAUAAGGACCGGCUAAUUCCGUGCCAGCAGCCGCGGUAAUACGGAAGGUCCGGGCGUUAUCCGGAUUUAUUGGGUUUAAAGGGAGCGCAGGCCGGAGAUUAAGCGUGUUGUGAAAUGUAGAUGCUCAACAUCUGAACUGCAGCGCGAACUGGUUUCCUUGAGUACGCACAAAGUGGGCGGAAUUCGUGGUGUAGCGGUGAAAUGCUUAGAUAUCACGAAGAACUCCGAUUGCGAAGGCAGCUCACGGGAGCGCAACUGACGCUGAAGCUCGAAAGUGCGGGUAUCGAACAGGAUUAGAUACCCUGGUAGUCCGCACGGUAAACGAUGGAUGCCCGCUGUUGGUCUGAAUAGGUCAGCGGCCAAGCGAAAGCAUUAAGCAUCCCACCUGGGGAGUACGCCGGCAACGGUGAAAC